GAAGCGCAGUAAUGUGUGAAGCUAACUCGUACUAAUUGGCUGAUUGUCUUGACCAUAUAUCCUGAGUUUUUUUGGAU
Molecule: ribosomal RNA, 77 nt
Filed under: Legionella londiniensis
Lineage: Bacteria; Pseudomonadati; Pseudomonadota; Gammaproteobacteria; Legionellales; Legionellaceae
Description: partial 23S ribosomal RNA
Source: RNAcentral